UACGGAGGGUGCAAGCGUUAUCCGGAUUCACUGGGCUUAAAGGGCGCGUAGGCGGUCCCAUAAGUCCCGCGUGAAAUCCCCCGGCUCAACCGGGGAACUGCGUGGGAAACUGCGGGGCUUGAGUUCGGGAGAGGGAAGCGGAAUUCCGGGUGUAGCGGUGAAAUGCGUAGAUAUCCGGAGGAACACCGGUGGCGAAGGCGGCUUCCUGGACCGACACUGACGCUGAGGCGCGAAAGCUAGGGGAGCAAACGGG
RNAcentral lists this ribosomal RNA (253 nucleotides) under uncultured bacterium. RNAcentral's name for it is "partial 16S ribosomal RNA". It matches the Rfam family "Bacterial small subunit ribosomal RNA", at positions 524 to 776 of the family's 1533-position model. The record is from RNAcentral.